Molecule: long non-coding RNA, 558 nt
Filed under: Gossypium raimondii (Peruvian cotton)
Lineage: Eukaryota; Viridiplantae; Streptophyta; Magnoliopsida; Malvales; Malvaceae
Description: long non-coding RNA (GRAI_LNC004027)
Source: RNAcentral
AAUACUAAAAAUAAUAAUAAAAGCUAAAUAGCAAAAUAAAAUAAAAAUAAGCAUAAAAAUAAAAUUAAUUAAUUAAUUUAAGAAAAUAAAAAUAUAGGGCAAAUGGGGGAAACUGACGGUGGUGCAAUGAUCAGAGUUUCUACGAGGGUGCGCGUGGUCAUGUUCGGCUGGCCGACACGAGUACGAACAACGAUGAAAAGGGGCUAGUCGCUGAGGGGAGAAGGAGAGUGGGUAAGGGGUGGUUAAGUUAGGUGAAACAAAGUGGGGGGUUAGGGAAAAAAAGGAGAGGGAGAAGAGCGAAGAGGGGACGGAUGGCUGCGUCAAAAGGAGGAAGAAAGGUCGGAGGUGGGGGAAGGGGGAAUAGAAAGGAAGGGGAAAGGAGAAAGAAGGAAGGAGAAAGGGGAAGGUUGGGAGCGGCUUGGUGGACGGUGGAGAGGUGGAAAAGAAAGAGGAAAGGGGAAGGGCUAAGACGACAAUUGAGGGGCUUAGAUGGUGAAUGGCGGUCAGCGGCGUCAGGUUGGUGGAGGAAAGAAGAAGAAGACAAAAUGAAAAGGAAAC